Molecule: ribosomal RNA, 477 nt
Filed under: uncultured bacterium
Lineage: Bacteria
Description: bacterial SSU rRNA
Rfam family: Bacterial small subunit ribosomal RNA
Source: RNAcentral
UACGAGGACGACGCUGGCGGCGUGCUUCAUACAUGCAAGUCGAACGAGAAGCUGACUUCGGUCAGUGGAAAGUGGCGGACGGGUGAGUAAUGUGUAGAGAAUCUGCCCUAGAGAGGGGGACAACAGUUGGAAACGACUGCUAAUACCCCAUAUGAGCGUAGCUGAAAUGCUAUUCUUGAAAACUCCGGUGCUCUGGGAUGAGUCUGCAUCUGAUUAGCUAGUAGGCGGUGUAAUGGACCACCUAGGCGACGAUCAGUAGCUGGUUUGAGAGGAUGAUCAGCCACAAUGGGACUGAGACACGGCCCAUACUCCUACGGGAGGCAGCAGUAGGGAAUUUUGCGCAAUGGGGGGAAACCCUGAACCGCAGCAACGCCGCGUGAAUGAAGAAGCCCUUCGGGGUGUAAAGUUCUGUCAGUGGGGACGAAACUUGACGGUACCCACAGAGGAAGCAUCGGCUAACUCCGUGCCAGCCGCCGC